UACGGGGGGUGCAAGCGUUGUUCGGAAUUACUGGGCGUAAAGCGCACGUAGGCGGCUUUGUAAGUUAGAGGUGAAAGCCCAGGGCUUAACCCUGGAAUUGCCUUUAAGACUGCAUCGCUAGAAUCGUGGAGAGGUGAGUGGAAUUCCGAGUGUAGAGGUGAAAUUCGUAGAUAUUCGGAAGAACACCAGUGGCGAAGGCGACUCGCUGGACACGUAUUGACGCUGAGGUGCGAAAGCGUGGGGAGCAAACAGG
This 253-nucleotide ribosomal RNA is filed under the name uncultured bacterium. Its description in RNAcentral is "partial 16S ribosomal RNA". It matches the Rfam family "Bacterial small subunit ribosomal RNA", at positions 524 to 776 of the family's 1533-position model. The record is from RNAcentral.